Molecule: ribosomal RNA, 194 nt
Filed under: uncultured eukaryote
Lineage: Eukaryota
Description: partial 18S ribosomal RNA
Rfam family: Eukaryotic small subunit ribosomal RNA
Source: RNAcentral
GAAACCUGGUUGAUCCUGCCAGUAGCAUACGCUUGUCUCAAAGAUUAAGCCAUGCACGUCUAAGUAUAAGCGAUUAUACUGUGAAACUGCGAAUGGCUCAUUAUAUCAGUUAUAGUUUAUUUGAUAGUACCUUACUACUUGGAUAACCGUAGUAAUUCUAGAGCUAAUACAUGCGUAAAGUCCCGAUGGGAUGU